RNAcentral lists this ribosomal RNA (484 nucleotides) under uncultured bacterium. RNAcentral's name for it is "partial 16S ribosomal RNA". It matches the Rfam family "Bacterial small subunit ribosomal RNA", at positions 30 to 507 of the family's 1533-position model. The record is from RNAcentral.
AUUGAACGCUGGCGGCAGGCCUAACACAUGCAAGUCGAGCGGAUGAAGGGAGCUCGCUCCUGGCUUCAGCGGCCGACGGGCGAGUAAUGCCUACGAAUCUGCCCUGCCGAGGGGACUAACGUACGGACACGGGAGCUAAUAUCGCAUCCGAUCUUAUGGAGAAAGGCGGGGAUCUUCGGACCACACCCUAUUAGAUGAGACUAGGCCGGAUUAGCUAGUUGGUUGGGUAAAGUCCUACCAAGGCGACGAUCCGUAACUGGUCUGAGAGGAUGAUCAGUCACACUGGAACUGAGACACGGUCCAGACUCCUACGGGAGGCAGCAGUGGGGAAUAUUGGACAAUGGGCGAAAGCCUGAUCCAGCCAUGCCGCGUGUGUGAAGAAGGUCUUCGGAUUGUAAAGCACUUUAAGUUGGGAGGAAGGGCAGUAAGUUUAUACCUGGCUGUUUUGACGUUACCAACAGAGUAAGCACCGGCUAACUUCGUG